Molecule: ribosomal RNA, 254 nt
Filed under: uncultured bacterium
Lineage: Bacteria
Description: partial 16S ribosomal RNA
Rfam family: Bacterial small subunit ribosomal RNA
Source: RNAcentral
UACGUAGGGUGCGAGCGUUGUCCGGAAUUAUUGGGCGUAAAGAGCUCGUAGGCGGUCUGUCGCGUCGAUCGUGAAAACUUGGGGCUUAACCCUGAGCUUGCGGUCGAUACGGGCAUGACUGGAGUUCGGCAGGGGAGACUGGAAUUCCUGGUGUAGCGGUGAAAUGCGCAGAUAUCAGGAGGAACACCGAUGGUGAAGACAGCUCGCUGGGGGUGUCCUGACGCUGAGGCGCGAAAGCCAGGGGAGCGAACGGG